UGUAUCCAGUGUUUACUUAGUCAGGUACUGAGUGACUUUGAGCAUAUACAAAAUUACCCAAAGCUGCUUGGUACCUAACUAUGUGGACAUCUGUUUCUACGGUUUUUGUC
This 110-nucleotide microRNA precursor is filed under the name Polistes canadensis. RNAcentral describes it as "microRNA pca-mir-306 precursor". Its record names the gene pca-mir-306. Lineage: Eukaryota; Metazoa; Arthropoda; Insecta; Hymenoptera; Vespidae. The record is from miRBase by way of RNAcentral.